AGAGUUUGAUCAUGGCUCAGGAUGAACGCUGGCGGCGUGCUUAACACAUUCAAGUCGAACGAUGAAGUCCUUCGGGGACGGAUUAGUGGCGGACGGGUGAGUAACGCGUGAGCAACCUGCCUUGCAGAGGGGGAUAACACAGGGAAACUUGUGCUAAUACCGCAUGAUGCAUACUGAUCGCAUGUUCGGUAUGCCAAAGGAGCAAUCCGCUGUAAGAUGGGCUCGCGUCCGAUUAGGUAGUUGGUGAGGUAACGGCCCACCAAGCCGACGAUCGGUAGCCGGACUGAGAGGUCGAACGGCCACAUUGGAACUGAGAUACGGUCCAGACUCCUACGGGAGGCAGCAGUGGGGAAUAUUGGGCAAUGGGCGAAAAAGCCUGACCCAGCGACGCCGCGUGAGGGAAGAAGGUCUUCGGAUUGUAAACCUUUGUCAUCAGGGACGAAGAAAUGACGGUACCUGAGAAGGAAGCCACGGCUAACUACGUGCCAGCCGCGGC
This 496-nucleotide ribosomal RNA is filed under the name uncultured bacterium. Its description in RNAcentral is "bacterial SSU rRNA". It matches the Rfam family "Bacterial small subunit ribosomal RNA", at positions 8 to 518 of the family's 1533-position model. The record is from RNAcentral.